UCCUACGGGAGGCAGCAGUAGGGAAUAUUGGACAAUGGGGGCAACCCUGAUCCAGCCAUUCCGCGUGCAGGAAUAAGGCCCUAUGGGUCGUAAACUGCUUUUGUAUGGGAAAAAAUCAUCUUACGUGUAAGGUGUUGAUGGUACCAUGAGAAUAAGGAUCGGCUAACUUCGUGCCAGCAGCCGCGGUAAU
Molecule: ribosomal RNA, 190 nt
Filed under: uncultured bacterium
Lineage: Bacteria
Description: partial 16S ribosomal RNA
Rfam family: Bacterial small subunit ribosomal RNA
Source: RNAcentral